CUGGCGGCAUGCUUUACACAUGCAAGUCGAACGGUAACAGGGUUAAGCUGACGAGUGGCGAACGGGUGAGUAAUGCAUCGGAACGUGCCCGAUCGUGGGGGAUAACGCAGCGAAAGCUGCGCUAAUACCGCAUACGAUCUGAGGAUGAAAGCGGGGGACCGUAAGGCCUCGCGCGAUCGGAGCGGCCGAUGUCAGAUUAGGUAGUUGGUGGGGUAAAGGCUCACCAAGCCGACGAUCUGUAGCUGGUCUGAGAGGACGACCAGCCACACUGGGACUGAGACAGGCCCAGACUCCUACGGGAGGCAGCAGUGGGGAAUUUUGGACAAUGGGCGCAAGCCUGAUCCAGCAAUGCCGCGUGCAGGAAGAAGGCCUUCGGGUUGUAAACUGCUUUUGUACGGAGCGAAAAGGCUCUCUCUAAUACAGGGGGUUCAUGACGGUACCGUAAGAAUAAGCACCGGCUAACUACGUG
RNAcentral lists this ribosomal RNA (469 nucleotides) under uncultured bacterium. RNAcentral describes it as "bacterial SSU rRNA". It matches the Rfam family "Bacterial small subunit ribosomal RNA", at positions 36 to 507 of the family's 1533-position model. The record is from RNAcentral.